Pelobates cultripes (western spadefoot toad) is the source of this 398-nucleotide non-coding RNA. The record is from the annotation of a GenBank genome assembly. Lineage: Eukaryota; Metazoa; Chordata; Amphibia; Anura; Pelobatidae.
CUUCCUUAGUUUUCUUCCUUAUGUUACCAUUGUUUGUUUUACUUCACCUCGAUAUAAACAAAUUACUUAUUAUAAUUUAUCUAUGAAAUCCUAUUGAACUCAAUCUUUGUAGAAUUAAGUAAUUUUAUCAACUUCAUAUUUUAUCUACGUCUGAUACUUCUCAUUCUAUGUAUAGGUAAUAAUGUAAUAGUUAUUUUCAUAAUACUAUCCUAUCAUAAUUGUACUCCAUGUGUUAUAUUGUUAUAAGUACUCUCUUUUGGUAUUAAUACUUAUAACUGUUAAAUAACUUUUCAUUGUCUGUUUUCUUCAUUAAUAUUUAGGAAUAUAUAUGUAUGUUAGUGUCAAUCUUUUAUUUCUUUGUAAGUCUGUUAAUCUUCUGUAUCGAAUGAACUCUGUAG